GAUGAACGCUAGCGGCAGGCCUAACACAUGCAAGUCGAGGGGCAGCACGUCUUCGGGUGGUGGCGACCGGCGCACGGGUGCGUAACGCGUAUGCAACCUACCUCUUACAGUGGGAUAGCCCAGAGAAAUUUGGAUUAAUACCGCAUAGUAUACAGAUUCAGCAUUGGGACUGUAUUAAACAUUUAUGGGUAAGAGAUGGGCAUGCGUUCUAUUAGUUAGUUGGAGUGGUAACGGCACCCCAAGACAGCGAUAGAUAGGGCCCUGAGAGGGGAGUCCCCACACUGGUACUGAGACACGGACCAGACUCCUACCGGGAGGCAGCACGUGAGGAAUAUUGGACAAU
RNAcentral lists this ribosomal RNA (343 nucleotides) under uncultured bacterium. RNAcentral describes it as "bacterial SSU rRNA". It matches the Rfam family "Bacterial small subunit ribosomal RNA", at positions 28 to 372 of the family's 1533-position model. The record is from RNAcentral.